This 1807-nucleotide long non-coding RNA is filed under the name Mytilus galloprovincialis (Mediterranean mussel). Lineage: Eukaryota; Metazoa; Mollusca; Bivalvia; Mytilida; Mytilidae. The record is from RNAcentral.
AUUGUUUUGGAAUAAUUUGAAGGUUGUGAGAAAAGAUUGUGUGUUUAUGACAUAAUUUGCCAUUAUAAAAGCCCAAUCGCUACAGAGAGCCGACAAACGAUUGCUGCUGUUUCUUGAAGUACAUCGUGAUACACUAGUAAGUAAACGUAAGUUUUUGGUCUUACAGCUUUUGAUUCAUGAACAUCCAGCAAAAGUGUUUAGUAAGAAAACUGAUGAGAGAGAUACCAAAGAGACAUGAAAACUCAUAAGUCGAAAACAAAAAACAAACUGACAACGUCAUUGCAACAAAAAUGUUUGCUCACGUUUGUCAGUCGAAACUGUACUUGACAUGAAUGUAACAUUUUUUUUUUUAUUGCAUUUCGAGAUCUGGUGCUGUAUUUGUAUAUAAUGGAGUGUGACACCGCUUUGUCUGUUAUUCAAUAUAUUCUAACGUUUUUAAACAAUUCAGUGAAAAAGAACGGAUAGGGGGAAGUGGCACGAAUACAUAACCAAAUCUCUGAAAUAAUGGUGUUUUAUUUACUAUAGAGGCACUUAUUAUGAAAUUGCCGUCGGAUUUGCGAUACGAGCAUGUAUGUAUGCAACUUAAUUCGUGUAUAUACAAUAGCACAUUAUUGUUUUUACAGACUAAACAUGAAAUUGUUCGUAGUAGCUCUUUUGGUUCUUAUGGCAUAUGUGAGUUCUCUUCCACAAAAGAAAUUUCUUCUGGAUGGUAAGCUCAUAUCUAUAAUCAAUUUUAAUUGGAAACUUACUUUUUUUCUGAAUCAAAAUUGUUUGUUAAGACAAUAACUAUUAUCAAGCCCCCUUCAAAUAUAAUUGGUCGUUCAUUAGAACCAAACAAAUCCUAGGGCACAGCACAAGUCAAAGUAUAUAAAUUUUAACUACAACAUAAAACAAAAGACAGGUAAACACAAAUAACCAAUUUGAAAAUACUCCUGAUGAGGACAGGGCCAUUCAACAUGUGGUUGACAUAAACUAGAUUCAUAAAAUCAUAACCCUUCCAUAUAUAAGACAUAUAGACACAAACAAAAAAUCAUUCAUAUUUUUCUCCAAUCCACUAGGGAAAACUCAACAAGUCCAGCAUGCAUUUUAGAAUAAUGUUAACCAUUGAUGCACAUUCUUCUGUCAUCAAAAAGAUGGGUCUAAUGAUUUUGUUAAACAAUUGUUGUAUUGGUCUUUAUCUUAUAUAUUUAUUUAUGCGUUUACUUACGGAAGGACAAAUUUAAAGGUUGUGUUUGAUUUCUGUUCUGUGCAAAAAAGUGAAAUCACAAAAAUACUGAAUUCCGAGGAAAAUUCACAACGAAAAGUCAAAUGGCAAAUCAAAAGCUCAAACACAUCAAUCGAAUGUGACAAUUGACUGAAAGCAUUGAAUGAAUAAGAAUAAAUUUAACAUUUUAGUAAAUAUUAAAUACUCAAAUAUAAAGAUAAAGAACAAUACAAUGAUGCAUGAUAUUGUCAGCCCUUAAUUAUUCCUUAUUAUUUGCAGACAUAUAUCUACUUCCUGGUGACUGCGAGCAUAGUGACGCAUGUAGCCAUUGUGGAAAUAGCCACAUUCAUCGCAUUCAACAUGGAGGACUUGUUAUAGAAAUCUGUUGUCGCACAUGUGGAAAGCCCAAUGCCACAGUGCAUAUUGGCUUUCCACAUUCUGCCCUUGAAUGUCAAUGCCUGUAGAGCAUCAUACACGAUAUAUCUCUUUUUUUCUCAAUAAAACUAAUAAUGAAAAUAUAGUACAUGUAGCACCAUGUAUAACGUCUGCCUAACUAGGUAUAUACAAAAACAUAGGUCUUUUUGGAAUCAUGUCUUUCAUCGG